RNAcentral lists this long non-coding RNA (895 nucleotides) under Gopherus agassizii (Agassiz's desert tortoise). RNAcentral's name for it is "lncRNA (ENSGAGG00000008643.1)". Lineage: Eukaryota; Metazoa; Chordata; Testudines; Testudinidae. The record is from RNAcentral.
UAUAUAACUGUCAGUGGCACAUUGACACAAAGGUCGAACAAGACAGGAUUUCCCCUAUGUGGCGGUGCUGGCACCUGGGGAGCUGUGAGGCCACACUCAGAAGGAAACUACACAUCGUGAAUUGAAAACAAUCUUUGCUGACUGGAGGACUCUGGGCUCUUCCAUGCCGUCUUUGCUACAAAACCACUCUGCAUUUCCAGAAAGUGACUUGCUCCAAGCCCCCCUAGAUGUGCCUGGUACUUUACGAAGCACGUAAAUUCUGCCUACCCAAGUCACUGACACUCUAAGUGAAGGAUACAACAGAGGGAGGAGAGAAGAACAUGAGGAAGCUCCAAGAGUUUGUUCAGCCAGCUCGAAACAGGACGCAGUAUGUGAACCAGUGCUUUCUCACCACACACCUGACAAGGCUAUUCCAGGUCUCACACAUCCACAGGACUGACUCAGCCUGCACAUCUGGAGUGGCACAAAGCUGAUGGAGUGGAUGGCCCUUAGUCUCCAUGCAUUUAUGCCAUCAAACACAGAAGUCAGGGAAAGGGGAACACAUUCGUGUCUGACUACUGUUCGCUGUGUGCUUUUCUCAGUGUUUUAUAUUCUGCAAAUGAAGGGUUAAUGAGUACUAAAAAUAUAUGCAUGUGGGUUAAACAGAUCUAUCUAUCUAUCUAUCUAUCUAUCUAUCUAUCUAUCUAUCUAUCUAUCUAUCUAUCCCAUGUCCAUCAUCAUGGUAUCUGAAGCUACCUGAGCUGUUGUUUUUCUGUUGGCUAGAGAUGCCAGGGAACCUGCUGAAGGUGAUACCUUAUUGCAAGCUGUGCUACUCAGCUCCUGUCUGUUUAAUUAGCCAGAGUCUGGUUCUCUCUGCAUGUUCCUGAUUUUUCAAUAAAUGGCAAGCAUGGCUGUC